RNAcentral lists this ribosomal RNA (497 nucleotides) under uncultured bacterium. RNAcentral's name for it is "partial 16S ribosomal RNA". It matches the Rfam family "Bacterial small subunit ribosomal RNA", at positions 28 to 507 of the family's 1533-position model. The record is from RNAcentral.
GAUGAACGCUGGCGGCGUGCCUAAUACAUGCAAGUCGAGCGAACAGACGAGGAGCUUGCUCCUCUGACGUUAGCGGCGGACGGGUGAGUAACACGUGGAUAACCUACCUAUAAGACUGGGAUAACUUCGGGAAACCGGAGCUAAUACCGGAUAAUAUAUUGAACCGCAUGGUUCAAUAGUGAAAGACGGUUUUGCUGUCACUUAUAGAUGGAUCCGCGCCGCAGUAGCUAGUUGGUAAGGUAACGGCUUACCAAGGCAACGAUGCGUAGCCGACCUGAGAGGGUGAUCGGCCACACUGGAACUGGAACCCGGUCCAGACUCCUACGGGAGGAAGCAGUAGGGAAUCUGCCGCAAUGGGCGAAAGCCUGACGGAGCAACGCCGCGUGAGUGAUGAAGGUCUUCGGAUCGUAAAACUCUGUUAUUAGGGAAGAACAAAUGUGUAAGUAACUAUGCACGUCUUGACGGUACCUAAUCAGAAAGCCACGGCUAACUACGUG